RNAcentral lists this ribosomal RNA (407 nucleotides) under uncultured bacterium. RNAcentral's name for it is "partial 16S ribosomal RNA". It matches the Rfam family "Bacterial small subunit ribosomal RNA", at positions 29 to 526 of the family's 1533-position model. The record is from RNAcentral.
AUUGAACGCUGGCGGCAGGCCUAACACAUGCAAGUCGAGCGGAGCGGCGGACGGGUGAGUAAUGCCUAGGAAUCUGCCUGGUCGUGGGGGAUAACGUCCGGAAACGGGCGCUAAUACCGCAUACUAUCAGAUGAGCCUCGGUCGGUUUAGCUAGUUUGUGGGGUAAAGGCCUACCAAGGCGACGAUCCGUAACUGGUCGGAGGGGAGGAGCAGUCACCGUGGAACUGAGACACGGACCAGAGUCCUGCGGGAGGCAGCAGUGGGGAAUAUUGCACAAUGGGGGCAAGCCUUGUGCAACCAUGCCGCGUGUAUUGAGGAGGCCUUCGGGUUGGAAAGUACUUUCAGUCGGGAGGCGUUACCGACAGAAGAAGCACCGGCUAACGACGUGCCAGCAGCCGCGGUAAUAC